This 301-nucleotide ribosomal RNA is filed under the name uncultured bacterium. RNAcentral's name for it is "partial 16S ribosomal RNA". It matches the Rfam family "Bacterial small subunit ribosomal RNA", at positions 509 to 808 of the family's 1533-position model. The record is from RNAcentral.
CAGCAGCCGCGGUAAUACGUAGGUGGCAAGCGUUGUCCGGAAUUAUUGGGCGUAAAGCGCGCGCAGGCGGUUUGAUAAGUCUGAAGUUAAAGGCUGUGGCUCAACCAUAGUUCGCUUUGGAAACUGUUUAACUUGAGUGCAAGAGGGGAGAGUGGAACUCCAUGUGUAGCGGUGAAAUGCGUAGAUAUAUGGAGGAACACCGGUGGCGAAAGCGGCUCUCUGGCUUGUAACUGACGCUGAGGCUCGAAAGCGUGGGGAGCAAACAGGAUUAGAUACCCCCGUAGUCCCUGUCUCUUAUACA